AACUAUGUGCCAGCAGCUGCGGUAAUACAUAGGUCGCGAGCGUUAUUCGGAUUUAUUGGGCGUAAAGCAAGCGCAGGCGGAUGGCUAAGUUCUAUGUUAAAAGCGGCUGCUCAACAGUCGUUUGCAUAGAAUACUAGCCGUCUAGAAUAUGGUAGGAAGUUUUGGAAUUAAAUAUGGAGCGGUGGAAUGUGUAGAUAUAUUUAAGAACACCAGAGGCGAAGGCGAAAACUUAGGCCAUUAUUGACGCUUAGGCUUGAAAGUGUGGGUAGCAAAUGGGAUUAGAUACCCCAGUAGUCCACACCGUAAACGAUGGGUAUUGGGUGUCGGGGCUUGAGCCUCGGUGCUGUAGCUUACGUGUUAAAUACCCCGCCUGGGUAGUACAUAUGCAAAUAUGAAACUCAAAGGAAUUGACGGGGACCUGAACAAGUGGUGGAACAUGUUGCUUAAUUCGAUAAUACACGAAAAACCUUACCAAGGUUUGACAUCCCUCGCAAACCCAUAGAAAUAUGGCGGAGGUUAUCGAGGUGACAGGUGGUGCAUGGUUGUCGUCAGCUCGUGUCAUGAGAUGUUUGGUUAAGUCCCGCAACGAGCGCAACCCUACUCUUUAGUUACUUUUCUAAAGAGACUGAACAGUAAUGUAUAGGAAGGUUGGGAUCACGUCAAAUCAUCAUGCCCCUUAUGCCUUGGGCCGCAAACGUGUUACAAUGGCGAGUACAAUGUGUCGCAAUCUAGCGAUAGUGAGCUAAUCACUAAAACUCGUCUCAGUCCGGAUAAAAGGCUGCAAUUCGCCUUUUUGAAGUUGGAAUCACUAGUAAUCCCGUGUCAGCUAUAUCGGGGUGAAUACGUUCCCAGGUCUUGUACAC
This 863-nucleotide ribosomal RNA is filed under the name Candidatus Mycoplasma haematomolossi. RNAcentral's name for it is "bacterial SSU rRNA". It matches the Rfam family "Bacterial small subunit ribosomal RNA", at positions 499 to 1388 of the family's 1533-position model. The record is from RNAcentral. Lineage: Bacteria; Bacillati; Mycoplasmatota; Mollicutes; Mycoplasmatales; Mycoplasmataceae.